GAUAAAAAUAAUUUUUUUGCAGGCAGUUGGAUGGCAACCAUCAGGGGCCAGAUUAACACGAAAUGAGGAGGAUUCCGGAAGUUAACGCACAAAAGGAGGAUCAGGGCGCAGAUUUUCCGCCAGGAAGCGCUCGCCCCAAACAAAAGCGAGAGAUGGGUUUCUCGCUAUAUUAUACU
Molecule: small RNA, 176 nt
Filed under: Salmonella enterica
Lineage: Bacteria; Pseudomonadati; Pseudomonadota; Gammaproteobacteria; Enterobacterales; Enterobacteriaceae
Description: Salmonella enterica sRNA STnc210
Rfam family: Salmonella enterica sRNA STnc210
Source: RNAcentral